Molecule: ribosomal RNA, 274 nt
Filed under: uncultured bacterium
Lineage: Bacteria
Description: partial 16S ribosomal RNA
Rfam family: Bacterial small subunit ribosomal RNA
Source: RNAcentral
AUACGGAAGGUGCAAGCGUUAAUCGGAAUUACUGGGCGUAAAGCGCGCGUAGGUGGCUUGGUCAGUCGGGUGUGAAAGCCCCGGGCUCAACCUGGGAACUGCAUCCGAUACUGCCAGGCUCGAGUACGAGAGAGGAGAGUGGAAUUCCAGGUGUAGCGGUGAAAUGCGUAGAGAUCUGGAGGAACAUCAGUGGCGAAGGCGGCUCUCUGGCUUGAUACUGACGCUGAGGUGCGAAAGCGUGGGGAGCAAACAGGAUUAGAAACCCCGGUAGUCC